RNAcentral lists this unclassified non-coding RNA (363 nucleotides) under uncultured bacterium. RNAcentral describes it as "contains 16S-23S intergenic spacer region". The record is from RNAcentral.
UCCCCGUUACCGGGGCAGUCUAGCUAGAGAAAUUCAACUAACUAUAAGGGUUGCGCUCGUUGAUGGACUUAACCAAACAUCUCACGACACGAGCUGACGACGGCCAUGCAACACCUGUCACUAGGUUCCCGAAGGCACUCUUUCCUUUCGGAUAGAUUCCUAGGAUGUCAAACCUUGGUAAGGUUCUUCGCUUACCAUCGAAUUAAACAACACGCUCCACCGCUUGUGCGGGUCCCCGUCAAUUCCUUUAUGUUUUAAGCUUGCGCUCGUACUCCACAGGCGGGACGCUUAACGCGUUAGCUUCGCUACUAGAAGGGUCGAUACUUCUAACAGCUAGCGUCCAUAGUUUACAGCGUGGACUAC